CUCGAAUGAAACGUUGACUCACAUCCGAGCACCACGUGUGUCUGAACAUCAGGUCCAUUUCCAGAACUUAUUCUUUUCACCAAAGGAGUAAUCGGGUGGUAAAUUCUCGUCACAUUCUGUCAAGCAGAUUCUAUCCAGUUUCAAGAAGUGUCAUCUGGACUGUCACUGAUAUUUUUGGUCAAUGUGGACUUCCGGAAUGGAACGACUUGACGUUCCAAGGAACAUUUUGGAAUCACAGAGAAGUGUUAGCCCAAGCACAGCUUCGGAGUCAGGCGAAGAACAAGGCUCAGAAAUUCAGACAGCAAGUGAACCAUUUGAAUCAGUUCAGCGAAUGUCUCGCACGCUUUCACCGGCGUCGAUUUCUGUCUCCUCUGAAGAAAAUAAGGUCACAACAACAAGAAGCCAACGAAAGAUAAAACAUCAUUGCCUUGCGCGAACCGAUAAUCAGUCAUUUACUGCUUCAUUCCCGCUAAGCGGGGAAUCAACUCUUCAAGGAACACCAUGGGAAGAAGCUCUCUAUGGGAAGCGUCCUGGAAAAAAAAUUCAAAGAACUGACAAAGAGACGGAGAUUGUCGCUUUUUGGCGUCAGUUUUUUGGAUAGAAUUAUCAUGACCUUGCCUGCUUAGAAGUUAACAAACUGUGUCAGGUCUGUGCAAGGUUUGGUAAACUGUAAAAGAUUUUCAUAUCUGACCGCUCUGUCUUGUGGUCUUUUACCUAAAAGAAGACGAAUUCAGAGCACUUUUUAAAACAUCAUUUAGUUUUUAAGACGGAAGUACAGAUGUAGAAAAAUUUUAAACAUUCGAAUCGAUGUCAGGAUGUAGAUUUAUUUCUAACUGCCUGUCGGUGUUUUAACAGCCUAUCCAAUAUCAUGACGAGAAUCUCACCAUAACCACUUCCUAUAGUUAAUAGGUUUGUCUUGAUGCUGUUUGCCACAACUCGUAUAAGAAUUAUGUGAUGGAAAUACAAAAUUUUCAACGAUUUCAUUCGAUCCCGCAGAGAUAGAUUUAUUACCAAAGAUGUAAUUGCUUAUCAUUUAUAUCUGGAACAUUGUUAACCAAAUGAUGGAACAUUCGUUUAUCCUAAUGGAAUAAUCAUUUCUACGCAAAGUUUUUGUAAGGAAUAUCAACAAACACGUGAGCGGGUGAAUGUCAAGGUCAUCCAAUGAUGACUGUUUAUCUUUUUCACCAAGUAAAUAAAGCUUUUGAAUUUUUAUGAAA
Long non-coding RNA from Pocillopora damicornis (cauliflower coral), 1217 nucleotides. Lineage: Eukaryota; Metazoa; Cnidaria; Anthozoa; Scleractinia; Pocilloporidae. The record is from RefSeq and is a predicted model, not a curated record.